CCUACGGGUGGCAGCAGUGAGGAAUAUUGGUCAAUGGGCGCAAGCCUGAACCAGCCAAGUCGCGUGAGGGAUGACGGUCCUAUGGGUUGUAAACCUCUUUUGUCGGGGAGCAAGGCCCGCCACGUGUGGCGGGCAGGAUGGUACCCGAAGACAAAGCAUCGGCUAACUCCGUUCCAGCAGCCGCGGUAAUACGGAGGAUGCGAGCGUUUUCCGGUUUUAUUGGGGUUAAAGGGUGCGUAGGCGGCAGGUUAUGUCAGUGGUAAAAUGUUGGUGCUCAACACCGGCCUGCCGUUGGAACUGGACGUCUGGAGUGAGCGAGAAGUAUGCGGAAUGCGUGGUGUAGCGGUGAAAUGCGUAGAGAUCACGCAGAACUCCGAUUGCGAAGGCAGCAUACCGGCGCGCAACUGACGCUGAGGCACGAAAGCGUGGGGAUCGAACAGGAUUAGAUACCCGUGUAGGC
RNAcentral lists this ribosomal RNA (460 nucleotides) under uncultured bacterium. RNAcentral describes it as "partial 16S ribosomal RNA". It matches the Rfam family "Bacterial small subunit ribosomal RNA", at positions 338 to 795 of the family's 1533-position model. The record is from RNAcentral.